Molecule: transfer RNA, 74 nt
Filed under: Myxococcales bacterium
Lineage: Bacteria; Pseudomonadati; Myxococcota; Myxococcia; Myxococcales
Description: tRNA-Arg
Rfam family: tRNA
About the family: Transfer RNA (tRNA) molecules are approximately 80 nucleotides in length. Their secondary structure includes four short double-helical elements and three loops (D, anti-codon, and T loops).
Source: RNAcentral
CGGCACGUAGCUCAACUGGACAGAGCACCACGCUACGGACGUGAAGGUUGGAGGUUCGAAUCCUCCCGUGCCGG